This 107-nucleotide small RNA is filed under the name Marmota monax (woodchuck). The record is from RNAcentral. Lineage: Eukaryota; Metazoa; Chordata; Mammalia; Rodentia; Sciuridae.
GCUGGGUGCGGUGGUGCCUGCCUGCAAUCCCAGCUACUCAGGAGGCUGAGGUAGGAGGAUCUCAAGUUGGAGGCCAACCUGGGCUACUGAGUGAGAACCUGUCUCAA